AGAGUAUNGGAGAGGAAAGUGGAAUUCCUAGUGUAGCGGUGAAAUGCGUAGAUAUUAGGAAGANCACCAGUGGCGAAGGCGACUUUCUGGACGAAAACUGACGCUGAGGCGCGAAAGCCAGGGGAGCGAACGGGAUUAGAUACCCCGGUAGUCCUGGCCGUAAACGAUGGGUACUAGGUGUAGGAGGUAUCGACCCCUUCUGUGCCGGAGUUAACGCAAUAAGUACCCCGCCUGGGGAGUACGACCGCAAGGUUGAAACUCAAAGGAAUUGACGGGGGCCCGCACAAGCGGUGGAGUAUGUGGUUUAAUUCGACGCAACGCGAAGAACCUUACCAGGUCUUGACAUUGAUGGACAGAACCAGAGAUGGUUCCUCUUCUUCGGAAGCCAGAAAACAGGCGGUGCACGGUUGUCGUCAGCUCGUGUCGUGAGAUGUUGGGUUAAGUCNNNCAACGAGCGCAACCCCUAUCUUAUGUUGCCAGCACGUAAAGGUGGGAACUCAUGAGAGACUGCCGCAGACAAUGCGGAGGAAGGCGGGGAUGACGUCAAAUCAUCAUGCCCCUUAUGACCUGGGCUACACACGUACUACAAUGGGAGUUAAUAGACGUAAGCGAGAUCGCGAGAUGGAGCAAACCCGAGAAACACUCUCUCAGUUCGGAUCGUAGGCUGCAACUCG
Molecule: ribosomal RNA, 674 nt
Filed under: uncultured bacterium
Lineage: Bacteria
Description: bacterial SSU rRNA
Rfam family: Bacterial small subunit ribosomal RNA
Source: RNAcentral